GACUCUCGGCAACAGAUAUCUCAGCUCUCACCAUGAUGAAGAAUGUAGCAAAAUGUGAUACUUAGUGUGAAUUGUAGAAUCCUGUGAAUCAUCGAUUCUUUGAAUGCAAGUUGCGCUUGAGGCCUCGAUCGAGGGCACGCUUGCUUGUGCGUCG
Cryptomeria japonica (Japanese cedar) is the source of this 154-nucleotide ribosomal RNA. RefSeq annotates it as 5.8S ribosomal RNA. Lineage: Eukaryota; Viridiplantae; Streptophyta; Pinopsida; Cupressales; Cupressaceae. The record is from RefSeq and is a predicted model, not a curated record. The transcript has a single exon.